Molecule: non-coding RNA, 92 nt
Organism: Marasmius sp. AFHP31
Lineage: Eukaryota; Fungi; Basidiomycota; Agaricomycetes; Agaricales; Marasmiaceae
Source: the annotation of a GenBank genome assembly
GGUCUUAUAGUGUAGUGGUUAUCACAGUGGAUUUUGAUUCUGCUCCUUGACUCGCUAUUCCAUUAACCCAGGUUCGAAUCCUGGUUAGACCU